GACAGAGGUUGCAAACGUUGCUCGGAAUUACUGGGCGUAAAGGGCGCGUAGGCGGACAGUUAAGUCAGAGGUGAAAUCCCAGGGCUCAACCCUGGAAUUGCCUUUGAUACUGGCUGUCUUGAGUAUGGGAGAGGUAAGCGGAACUCCGAGUGUAGAGGUGAAAUGCGUAGAUAUGCGGAAGAACACCAGUGGCGAAGGCGGCUUACUGGCCCAUUACUGACGCUGAGGCGCGAAAGCGUGGGGAGCAAACAGG
Molecule: ribosomal RNA, 253 nt
Filed under: uncultured bacterium
Lineage: Bacteria
Description: partial 16S ribosomal RNA
Rfam family: Bacterial small subunit ribosomal RNA
Source: RNAcentral